This 440-nucleotide ribosomal RNA is filed under the name uncultured bacterium. Its description in RNAcentral is "partial 16S ribosomal RNA". It matches the Rfam family "Bacterial small subunit ribosomal RNA", at positions 338 to 795 of the family's 1533-position model. The record is from RNAcentral.
CCUACGGGUGGCAGCAGUAGGGAAUAUUGCACAAUGGGCGAAACCCUGAAGCAGCAACGCCGCGUGGAGGAUGACGGUCUUCGGAUUGUAAAAUCCUUUUGUUAGAGAAGAUAAUGACUGUAUCUAACGGUUCAGGACCGGCCAAUAUCGAGCCAGCAGCCGCGGUCAUACGGAGGGUGCACGGGUUAGUCGGAAUGAUUGGGCGUAAAGAGAGCGGAGGCGGUUUUGCAAGUAAGAUGUGAAAGCCUAGGGCUUAACCGGAGUACUGCAUUUGACACUGUUAGUCUUGAGUAUGGGAGAGGUAGGUGGAAUUCGUUGUGUAGGGGUGAAAUGCGUAGAUAUGACGAAGAACACUCAUGGCGAAGGCGGCUUGCUAGAACGUAACUGACGCUGAUGCGCGAAAGCGUGGGUAGCAAACAGGAUUAGAUACCCCGGUAGUC